AACCUCCGCAAUGUGAGAAAUCGCGACGGGGGGAUCCCAAGUGCCAUUCUUAACGGGAUGGCUUUUCAUUAGUGUAAAGAGCUUUUGGAAUAAGGGCUGGGCAAGACCGGUGCCAGCCGCCGCGGUAACACCGGCAGCUCUAGUGGUAGCAGUUUUUAUUGGGCCUAAAGCGUCCGUAGCCGGUUUAAUAAGUCUCUGGUGAAAUCCUGUAGCUUAACUGUGGGAAUUGCUGGAGAUACUAUUAGACUUGAGACCGGGAGAGGUUAGAGGUACUCCCAGGGUGGAGGUGAAAUUCUGUAAUCCUGGGAGGACCGCCUGUUGCGAAGGCGUCUAACUGGAACGGUUCUGACGGUGAGGGACGAAAGUUAGGGGCGCGAACCGGAUUAGAUACCCGGGUAGUCCUAACUGUAAACGAUGCGGACUUGGUGUUGGGGUGGCUUUGAGCUGCUCCAGUGCCGAAGGGAAGCUGUUAAGUCCGCCGCCUGGGAAGUACGGUCGCAAGACUGAAACUUAAAGGAAGU
RNAcentral lists this ribosomal RNA (521 nucleotides) under uncultured bacterium. RNAcentral describes it as "bacterial SSU rRNA". It matches the Rfam family "Archaeal small subunit ribosomal RNA", at positions 345 to 866 of the family's 1478-position model. The record is from RNAcentral.